RNAcentral lists this ribosomal RNA (374 nucleotides) under uncultured prokaryote. RNAcentral's name for it is "bacterial SSU rRNA". It matches the Rfam family "Bacterial small subunit ribosomal RNA", at positions 524 to 896 of the family's 1533-position model. The record is from RNAcentral.
GACGAACCGUACAAACGUUACUCGGAAUUACUGGGCUUAAAGGGUGCGUAGGCUGCGCGGAAAGUUGGGUGUGAAAUCCCUCAGCUCAACUGGGGAAUUGCAUUCAAAACUGCCGUGCUAGAGGGAGACAGAGGUAAGCGGAACUCAAGGUGGAGCGGUGAAAUGCGUUGAUAUCUUGAGGAACACCGGUGGCGAAGGCGGCUUACUGGGUCUCUUCUGACGCUGAGGCACGAAAGCUAAGGUAGCAAACGGGAUUAGAUACCCCGGUAGUCUUAGCUGUAAACGAUGAGCACUUGAUUGAAGGGUCCUCCAUAGCCUUUCAGUCGUAGCGAAAGUGUUAAGUGCUCCGCCUGGGGAGUAUGGUCGCAAGGCUG